RNAcentral lists this unclassified non-coding RNA (2351 nucleotides) under Centruroides sculpturatus (bark scorpion). RNAcentral's name for it is "high affinity cAMP-specific and IBMX-insensitive 3', 5'-cyclic phosphodiesterase 8B-like, transcript variant X4". The record is from RNAcentral. Lineage: Eukaryota; Metazoa; Arthropoda; Arachnida; Scorpiones; Buthidae.
GGCCAGAGCGGAGGGAGCGCCACGCUGGGCGGAGAAGAGGGGGCGGAAGCGGACGCGGCGACGCGACUGCGCAGUGGCGCGGGCGCCGCGGGAAGGAACCGCCAUCGCGCAGUCGACGACCAGGGAGGAAGAGCGAUCGCCGGGAAGUAGAUCGCGGAGAAAGCGUCGAAGGUCGGAGGAAGCGGCUAUUCGUCGUCGGGACCGAGGGACGCCGACUCUUCCGGUCGAUCGGAGGCGGGAACGGAGCCACUCGCCUCCGCCGACCAUGGGUUGCGCGCCCAGCCUCCGCCCCGAACGCGGCGCCGUCCUCUACCGCGCCGGUUCCAACCGCAGCGGAUCGACGGCGACCCGGGGCCUGCCCGGCCUCUUCCGGGCCACCGACCCGCCACCGGAAGCGACGUCGGAGGAAGAAUUCUCGUCUCGCUCCGGCCGCCGGCGCGGGAGCGACGCGCUGGACCAGGAAGGAAGUUCCGUCGUUAAAUUUGGACCGAUGUGCCUUAACCGACAGAAGAUUAAAGCGUUGCUAAUUUUUCCCAAAGAAGACGCUCAAAGCGACGCGUUGAAAUGGGCAGCCGAGAAACUUCAAUACGAAUGUUCUCUGGUAUACGACCCGGAAAAGGCGCUGGAAGAAUACUUAAACCGUCGUCAUCACUUAAUAUUUGUCGACAGUAGACAGUCCAGGUCUUACGACCCCGUCGCCUUGUGCGGAUCAUUAAGAGCCAUCCGAGGAAGUCAAUAUACUUGCAUAGUAGCCGUGGUGAAAAGAAAUACUGCCGAUAGAGAAGAUGGUUCCAUAAUGCCACUUAUCCGAGCUGGUUUUAACAGGUGGCUUCUUGAAAGUUGCAAUCUUGGGUUCUGUUUAAAUGAGCUUAUACAAUUAGAACAUAAUGAGAUUGUCAUGCAGUUGAAAUUGAGAGCAGCUCAAGCACUUUUUACUGCCUUAGAUAAUUGUCGAGAUGGAAUAAUCAUUACUAGUGCCAAUCAUGAUGUACAGUUUUUAAACCGAUCUUCAGAAAAGUUAUUAGGAUUUACUGCAGAUGAAAUAAUUGGUAAAAGUACUCAGGAAAUAUACAAAUCAGACUCUACAAAAGCAGAUGUUAUUGAAAACAUUAAUAUGCAAAUAACAAAAGGAAAAGAAUGGGAAGGAAAAUUAUUACAUAAAAGGAAAUCUGGAGAAAAUAUGCCAUUAUGGAGUCGAAUUUCACCUGUAGAAAUAACUACUGGUUUUUUAGAUCAUAUCGUGUAUGUGAAAGAAUAUCCCUAUAUUUUCGAUAAAUCUCUUGCAUCUGAUUCAGAAAUGCUUCCAUUUUCAUGUGCUGCUGUAAAAACAUUAAGAAAGGCAUCUUGUGAUGUUCGUUCACUCUGCAGUGAAGCAGGUAUGAAUCGACGACAAUCAUUUGCUAGAUUUCAUGCUAUGACAAUAGAAGCACCUAUAACAAAGGUAAUUAAUAUGCUUUUGGCAACUCAAGAAAAUAGUCCAAUAUUUGUUGCACAAGCUCUUGAUAGAGCAUUAGAUAUAUUGAGAAGCACAGAAUUGUAUUCACCACAAUUCCCUGGUCUUCAACAAGUUCGUGCAGAAGAUCAAAUUACUUCUGAUCUUGUAACAGGAUUAGUCACAGGGCAAAAAACAUACAGAAGAUUUUCACAUGAAGUAGCCCUUAAAGGAUUAUCAGCACCACCAACAACAAUGGCCACAAGUGCUGCUCUACCUAAUUUGACAACAGCACCAAUUGAAGUAAGAAAUAUAUUAGAAAAAGAAGCUGAAUGGAAUUUUGAUAUUCUUUCUCUGGAAAGAAUUACUGAGAAAAGACCACUCAUAUGGCUUGGAAUGGCAAUUUUUACUCGAUUCAAUGUAUAUUCUACAUUGGGAUGUGAUGAGAAAGUUAUAAGAAACUGGCUUUCUUUAAUUGAAGCUAAUUAUCAUGAUAAUCCUUAUCAUAAUUCUACACAUGCAGCUGAUGUUCUUCAAGCUACAGCAUAUUUUCUACAAAAACCAAGAUUAAAGGCAAUUUUUGAUCCAUUAGAUGAAGUUAUAUCUUUAGUAGCUGCAAUUGUUCAUGAUGUUGAUCAUCCAGGAAAAACAAGUGCGUUCCUCUGUAAUUCUUCUAAUAAUCUUGCAAUUUUAUAUAAUGACUUAUUAACAACUAAGAAAUUGUGAAAUAGUAGUCAAGGUGUAACAAAUCAACCCAAACUCAAUUUAAUGGAAAUAAAAAUAAAAUAAUGUCUGUAUUAGAAAGUCAUCAUGCUGCAUUUGCCUUUAAACUCACAAAUUCUGGCGAGCGUGUGAAUAUUUUCCAGCAUCUUGAUCGUGACAACUAUAGAGCAGUUCGUCAAUCAAUUAUUGAUAUGGU